Long non-coding RNA from Anas platyrhynchos (mallard), 520 nucleotides. RefSeq lists it as uncharacterized. NCBI's taxonomy places the organism in Eukaryota, Metazoa, Chordata, Aves, Anseriformes, Anatidae. The record is from RefSeq and is a predicted model, not a curated record.
CCGGACUGCUCGGGGUUAGGCUGGGCAUCAGUCAGCGGGUGGAGCAAUUUCGGGAUCCGACAAGCUCGGCUGAAAUCACACACACUACACUCAUGAAGAUCCAGGUCCAACAGCGACAGAGCCUGCAGAAACAUUCACAGAUCUAAGGGAGUAAUAUAAUUUGAAGCUGAAAAGAAGCAACUGUUAUUCAAGCUAGCAAAGGGAACAUUCUGCACCUGCCCCCAGAAGAAGAUGCUGACCCUUACCUUCAACGUAAAAACUCUGCUUGGUGUUCUGAUCUCAAAAACCCCUUCACCAUUUUCCACCUUGCAGUCAAAGCUGGCGCUGGAGAGAUCGAUAGACCCCAAAGGGUUCACAUCCUGUGCAGUUCUGUAGUACAGGGAGGAAAGCACGGCCUUCUCCUUUGCUGAGGCUCCACCGCUCCUGCUGUUGUCUGGGUUUGACUCUGCUAGCUUGCCUGGGACUCCAGCAAGGGGCCAAGUUCCACUUUCUGGUCCUUUUUUCAUCUCUUUCAGGAAAU